Non-coding RNA from Trichonephila clavipes, 72 nucleotides. The record is from the annotation of a GenBank genome assembly. NCBI's taxonomy places the organism in Eukaryota, Metazoa, Arthropoda, Arachnida, Araneae, Nephilidae.
GGUUCGGUGGUUUAGGGGUAUGAUUCUCGCUUAGGGUGCGAGAGGUCCCGGGCUCAAAUCCCAGCCGAACCC